RNAcentral lists this long non-coding RNA (1408 nucleotides) under Oryctolagus cuniculus (rabbit). Its description in RNAcentral is "lncRNA (ENSOCUG00000033391.1)". The record is from RNAcentral. Lineage: Eukaryota; Metazoa; Chordata; Mammalia; Lagomorpha; Leporidae.
CACAGCAGAGAGCUGGACUAGAAGAGGAGCAACCAGGACUAGGACCCGGCACCCAUAUGGGAUGCCAGCACCGCAGGCGGAGGAUUAACCAAGUUAGCCUCGGCGCCGGCCCUUGAAAACUAUUUUACCAUUAAUUCUCAUAGUACAACACAUUAAGGACAGAGAUCCUACAUGGGGAGAAAGUGCACAGUGACUCCUGUUGUUGAUUUAACAAUUGACAUUCUUAUUUAUGACGUCAGUAAUCACCCGAGGCUCUUGUCAUGAGCUGCCAAGGCUAUGGAAGCCUCUUGAGACAGGCAGUAGCUGUACCCACUAUGCCAUAACACUGCCCUCAGCUUGGGCUUCGUUAGAGCAUGGUGGUUGAAUUUCAAGGGGGGGGGGGGGUCAUCCCAAAUACAGUGAGAGGAAAUUAUUGCCUUUUUAUUUUUUAAAGAUUUAUUUAUUUAUUUAAAUGCAGCGUUACAGAGAAAGAGAGAGGGUGCGAUAGAGAGAGGUCUUCCAUAUGCUGGUUCACUCCUCAGAUGCCCACAGUAGCCAGGAGUCAGGAGCUUCUCCCAGGUUUCCUGCAUGAAGCACUUUGGCCAUCCUCUGCUACUUUCCCAGGCCAUUAGCUGGGAGUUGGAUAAGAAGUGGAGCAUCUGGGACUAAAACCCGCACCCAAAUGGGAUGCUGGUGCUGCAAGUGUCAGCUUAACUGCUGUGCCACAGCACUGGCCCUGAACUACUGCCUUUUAUAACCUAACCUGAAAGUCACAUAGCCUUACUUCUGCCAGUCAUAAGCCCACUAGGAUUCAAGAGAAAGUAACAAGAGACAUUAACUCUUGAUGGAAGGACUAUAAAUGAGUGUAUGUAAUGGGAGACGUUGUUCAUCCAUCAUUGGAAAAUCCUAUAUAUAUUUUUUUAAGAUUUAUUUAUUUACUUGCUCAUUUCAGGGACAGAACAGAGAUUUUUUUUUUCCUAUUAAUGUUUACUUCUCUGGUACUUAGAAGGGAGGGACUAACUGUGUAGAUUUGCUAAAGAAAGUUAACAGGAGAAGGGACACUUGAGAUGGGCCUUGGAGAAGACAUCCCAGUGUGGAUGGUGGUGCAGAACGAUAUUCCAAAUAAGAAGAAACGGUUUGAUCAGCGGAGAUUUGUGGGGCAUUUGCUGGUUCUCUCUCUUGAAAAGUCUUCCCUUUGGUGUUCUUGAAUCACCAUCAUGAUUUUUAAUCCCUGUUAGCAAUUUAGUUUUUAAUUAAUUUUUUAAAAGAUCUUUAUUCUAUACAAGUCUACAGAAGAAAAUGAUCCUGGGCCAAUUUUAUUUCUUAGAAAAGAUUAUGUUCAUGUCAUUUCUUGAAAUAAUUAUUUCAUUGAAUGCCUUAUACACAAAAGAAGGACGUGACAAUAAUAAAAUCAUUGCCUAACAUUUCA